AGGCCCAGUACUGUGGGAAACAGUCCACACUUUAUUACUUUAUUUAAACUUUCCUUAGCUAUUAUACUGGCAAAAGUUCCAAGGGGUUAAGCGACUCUCCCAAGGUCACGCAGCUAGGAGAGGUAGAAGCUGGAUCUGCACUCCACCAAACCGCCUCCUCUUCUUUUUUUUCCCCUCAGUGCAGGGGCAGAGAAGUGGGAGCGGCCAUUCGGAGAGGGCGCCCCUUUCCUGCCGCCCCUCUAACUAGCCUUCCCUCAGCAUCUGCCUCACUCUGGCGCUCAGGCAGCGGACACGCUCCACCUGGCGCCUCAGCUCCUGCCACGUUGCCCCACCCCGCGCGAAGCCGGGCAGCUAGCGUCAGACCAGAGUCACGUGCCGCUGCAUUUCCCGCCCAGGCAUGCGCACUGCUGCCGCAUCCCCUGUCAGGAUGAGGGGGCAGAGGUCGGCUCGGAUCCGUCUCUGCACUGCUCCAGGCUUAGCUGUUCCUCACUGGGCGGCGCCGGCGGUUGGUUGAUGCCUCUUCUGUCAGCUGAGCCCGCGGGAGCCCGUGACGCCGCUUUCCCGCCCAUCCCCGCUCCCCGAGGCCUGCCGCCUGGCCAUGGCGUGGCCUGGCCCGGCUCCCCAGCCUGACGCCCCUCCGUCUACCUGGAAUUGACCCCUUCUUGGCCCAGCUGACCCCUCCCAUCUGACAGCUCAGCUCAGCGCCUCUGGACAAGAAUUUAGGCUACAGAUAAUUCCUUGUGAGGAGGAUGUUAACUGCAGCUGUUUAUGGAGACAAAGAGUGGAGAAAUCCCAGAUGCCUAUAACAGGGUGCUCAUUAAGAACAGAUGAUAAACACACGAAGUGAAAUUCGUGCUGCCAUUAAAAAGGAUGAAGCAACUUUGCACGUACCGAUGUGGGCCGUCUCCAGGAUAAAGCAAGGUCAUGGCUCUGCCCUCUUGAAUGACGUAGAAGACUGAAGUUAAGUGGACACCAAUGAUUUCAGCUCUCAGAAUGAGCGCUGUGCCAAGCAGACAGAUGCGUUACUAGGCAGACCACAGCUGGUGAGAACAGGAGAGCGACAAUGAGGCAGCUUUAGUGAAAGGAGCAAAAAUCCUUGGCUUUGUUUUCACUACAAGGACAUCAUACUCUGUCACUAUAGGAGCUGUGAGUAGCACCCUGACUACUUGUCGCCACUUUACAUUGACCUGCUAUUCCAGAGAGUGACAGGUUUAUUUUACCCUGGGAGGAAAGUGGCUGCCUGGGCGACACUGCGGUCACUGACAACUGGGUGAUUCCUUUGCUCUGCAAAUGUCAUCAAUCCCGGCAACCUGUGAAAUGUGCUGGGAACCACUUCCCACGGUGACUUUGCAGGAAGGACACCGCACCAUCAGGGUCCACGUGUGCUUCCCCAACAUGUGAGCCAGCCCCACGGGACAGGUUCUUGGGCAGUGUCUGCCGUUCCUUAGCCCUCCCCCCAACCCCGUCCAGUCCCCACUGCAGCAGUGACACCCCGUACCCUGCACCUACACAUGUGAUCCUCUGGUCACUGACAGCUGUUUGGCAGAAAUGAUUCAGUCACUAUGUUCUGAAAUGUGUACCUGUCUUUCACUGUGUCUUCAGCUAUGGAAGACCCGUCGCCUUUACUGCUCUAAAGGCUGUGAACCGCAAUGAGG
This is a non-coding RNA of Microcebus murinus (gray mouse lemur), 1655 nucleotides long. Lineage: Eukaryota; Metazoa; Chordata; Mammalia; Primates; Cheirogaleidae. The record is from RefSeq and is a predicted model, not a curated record.